This 253-nucleotide ribosomal RNA is filed under the name uncultured bacterium. Its description in RNAcentral is "partial 16S ribosomal RNA". It matches the Rfam family "Bacterial small subunit ribosomal RNA", at positions 524 to 776 of the family's 1533-position model. The record is from RNAcentral.
UACGUAGGGUGCGAGCGUUGUCCGGAAUUACUGGGCGUAAAGAGCUCGUAGGUGGUUUGUCGCGUUGUCCGUGAAAACUCACAACUCAAUUGUGGGCGUGCGGGCGAUACGGGCAGACUGGAGUACUGCAGGGGAGACUGGAAUUCCUGGUGUAGCGGUGGAAUGCGCAGAUAUCAGGAGGAACACCGGUGGCGAAGGCGGAUCUCUGGGCCUUACCUGACGCUGAGGCGCGAAAGCUAGGGGAGCGAACAGG